RNAcentral lists this unclassified non-coding RNA (300 nucleotides) under Leishmania major. Its description in RNAcentral is "sequence contains 18S rRNA gene, ITS1 and 5.8S rRNA gene". Lineage: Eukaryota; Euglenozoa; Kinetoplastea; Trypanosomatida; Trypanosomatidae. The record is from RNAcentral.
AUUACACCCCAAAAAACAUAUACAACUCGGGGAGGCUUAUUCUAUAUAUAUAUAGUAUAGGCUUUUCCCACAUACACAGCAAACUUUUAUACUCAAAAUUUGCAGUAAAAAAGGCCGAUCGACGUUGUAGAACGCACCGCCUAUACACAAAAGCAAAAAUGUCCGUUUAUACAAAAAAAUAGACGGCGUUUCGGUUUUUGGCGGGAGGGAGAGAGAGGGGGGUGCGUGCGCGUGGAUAACGGCUCACAUAACGUGUCGCGAUGGAUGACUUGGCUUCCUAUUUCGUUGAAGAACGCAGUA